RNAcentral lists this ribosomal RNA (468 nucleotides) under uncultured bacterium. RNAcentral's name for it is "partial 16S ribosomal RNA". It matches the Rfam family "Bacterial small subunit ribosomal RNA", at positions 28 to 507 of the family's 1533-position model. The record is from RNAcentral.
GACGAACGCUGGCGGCGUGCUUAACACAUGCAAGUCGAACGGAAAGGCCCUGCUUUUGUGGGGUGCUCGAGUGGCGAACGGGUGAGUAACACGUGAGUAACCUGCCCUUGACUUUGGGAUAACUUCAGGAAACUGGGGCUAAUACCGGAUAGGAGCUCCUGCUGCAUGGUGGGGGUUGGAAAGUUUCGGCGGUUGGGGAUGGACGCGCGGCUUAUCAGCUUGUUGGUGGGGUAGUGGCUUACCAAGGCUUUGACGGGUAGCCGGCAUGAGAGGGUGGACGGCCACAUUGGGACUGCGAUACGGCCCAGACUCCUACGGGAGGCAGCGGUGGGGAAUAUUGCACAAUGGGCGGGAGCCUGAUGCAGCAACGCCGCGUGCGGGAUGACGGCCUUCGGGUUGUAAACCGCUUUCGCCUGUGACGAAGCGUGAGUGACGGUAAUGGGUAAAGAAGCACCGGCUAACUACGUG